GACUUCUGGUUUAAUGCACCUGGCCCGCGGCCCACAAGGCCUGUGAGUGCCGGCGCGCGUUUACCAUCCUUCCAGCAACGGCUACCCUUAACUGGGCGGCUGGAACUGCAACGGCUACCCUUAACUGGGCGGCUGGAACUGGAUCUUUUACUUUGAAAAAAUUCGCGUGUUUAAAGCAGGCGUUUGCUCUGAAUACAUUAGCAUGGAAUAAUAAUCUAGGACUUCGGUUCUAUUUUGUUGGUUUCUAGAAUGAAGGAAUGAUUGAGAGGGAUAGUUGGGGGUGCUAGUAUUGGCCGGUCAGAGGUGAAAUUCUUGGAUUCGGUCAAAACUAACUUAUGCGAAAGCAUU
Molecule: ribosomal RNA, 348 nt
Filed under: uncultured Rhogostoma
Lineage: Eukaryota; Cercozoa; Thecofilosea; Cryomonadida
Description: bacterial SSU rRNA
Rfam family: Eukaryotic small subunit ribosomal RNA (bases 135-348)
Source: RNAcentral